UACGGAGGGGGCUAGCGGUGUUCGGAAUUACUGGGCGUAAAGGGCACGUAGGCGGACUUGUAAGCCAGAGGUGAAAUCCCAGGGCUCAACCUUGGAACUGCCUUUGGAACUCCCGGUCUUGAGGUCGAGAGAGGAGGGUGGAAUUCCGGGUGUAGGGGUGAAAUUCGUAGAUAUUCGGAGGAACACCAGUGGCGAAGGCGGCUCACUGGCUAAAUACUGACGCUGAGGUGCGAAAGUGCGGGGAGCAAACAGG
RNAcentral lists this ribosomal RNA (253 nucleotides) under uncultured bacterium. RNAcentral describes it as "partial 16S ribosomal RNA". It matches the Rfam family "Bacterial small subunit ribosomal RNA", at positions 524 to 776 of the family's 1533-position model. The record is from RNAcentral.